RNAcentral lists this ribosomal RNA (274 nucleotides) under uncultured bacterium. RNAcentral's name for it is "partial 16S ribosomal RNA". It matches the Rfam family "Bacterial small subunit ribosomal RNA", at positions 524 to 796 of the family's 1533-position model. The record is from RNAcentral.
UACGUAGGGGGCGAGCGUUGUCCGGAAUCAUUGGGCGUAAAGAGCUCGUAGGCGGUUCAGCAAGUCGGCUGUGAAAUUCCGAGGCUCAACCUCGGAACUGCAGUCGAUACUGCUGUGACUCGAGUCCGGUAGAGGAGAAUGGAAUUCCCGGUGUAGCGGUGAAAUGCGCAGAUAUCGGGAGGAACACCAGUAGCGAAGGCGGUUCUCUGGGCCGGUACUGACGCUGAGGAGCGAAAGCGUGGGGAGCAAACAGGAUUAGAUACCCCGGUAGUCC